This 329-nucleotide unclassified non-coding RNA is filed under the name uncultured fungus. RNAcentral describes it as "sequence contains ITS2". The record is from RNAcentral. Lineage: Eukaryota; Fungi.
AACGCAUAUUGCACUCCUCUGGAGUAUGCCUGUUUGAGAAUCUAUAGUAUUUCUUUUGGGUUUUUUUGUUUACGACGAGAAGAACCAAAGAUAUGAGGCCUUCCCUUGAGUUCGAGGGUGCCUUCAAAUAGAUUAUCUUUAGGAUGGAGAAAGUGUUUGACACCCUUCCAACUCUACAGAAAAGUAUGUGAAUGGAACUUUAUGUUUCUCAUUAUGCCGACUACGUAGAGGGAUCGGAAUAGUUUUCUCUUGACCAAAGAUUCAUAACCAUAAAGUCGUUAGACUUGAACCAUGGUCUCAAAUCAGGUAGGAAGACCCGCUGAACUUAA